This 794-nucleotide ribosomal RNA is filed under the name uncultured bacterium. Its description in RNAcentral is "bacterial SSU rRNA". It matches the Rfam family "Bacterial small subunit ribosomal RNA", at positions 8 to 796 of the family's 1533-position model. The record is from RNAcentral.
AGAGUUUGAUCAUGGCUCAGGAUGAACGCUAGCGGCAGGCCUAAUACAUGCAAGUCGAACGAUAGUGAGAAGCUUGCUUCUCACGAAAGUGGCGCACGGGUGCGUAACGCGUAUGCAACCUACCUUAAUCAGGGGGAUAGCCCGAAGAAAUUCGGAUUAACACCGCAUAAAAUCACAGUAUAGCAUUAUACAAUGAUCAAAUAUUUAUAGGAUUAAGAUGGGCAUGCGUGACAUUAGUUAGUUGGCGGGGUAACGGCCCACCCAAGACCACGAUGUCUAGGGGGAUCUGAGAGGAUGACCCCCCCACACUGGUACUGAGACACGGACCCAGACUCCUACGGGAGGCAGCAGUAAGGAAUAUUGGUCAAUGGAGGCAACUCUGAACCAGCCAUGCCGCGUGCAGGAAGACAGCCCUCUGGGUCGUAAACUGCUUUUAUUCGGGAAUAAACCUAUCUACGUGUAGAUAGCUGAAUGUACCGAAGGAAUAAGGAUCGGCUAACUCCGUGCCAGCAGCCGCGGUAAUACGGAGGAUCCAAGCGUUAUCCGGAUUUAUUGGGUUUAAAGGGUGCGUAGGCGGCUUAUUAAGUCAGGGGUGAAAGACGGUGGCUCAACCAUCGCAGUGCCUUUGAUACUGAUGAGCUUGAAUGUACUAGAGGUAGGCGGAAUGUGACAAGUAGCGGUGAAAUGCAUAGAUAUGUCACAGAACACCGAUUGCGAAGGCAGCUUACUAUGGUAUCAUUGACGCUGAGGCACGAAAGCGUGGGGAUCAAACAGGAUUAGAUACCCUGUAGUCC